RNAcentral lists this long non-coding RNA (6171 nucleotides) under Triticum aestivum (bread wheat). RNAcentral's name for it is "long non-coding RNA (TAES_LNC004143)". The record is from RNAcentral. Lineage: Eukaryota; Viridiplantae; Streptophyta; Magnoliopsida; Poales; Poaceae.
UGUGAUUCUCGGUUCCUUUUCGGUUGUUCCUGUCUCCGCGAGUUGGUCGUCCCCAAGGAAUGCGUAAGCUUCCGGUUUACUCUGUUGAUGUAUUGUGCUCUAUGCAAGAUAUUGCAGAGGAAUUGCCGUCUGUAACAGGGUCGUAGUACUGGUCCCCUAAAUUAAUUGCUUAAGUAGCCUAUUAAUCAUGAUUUCGUGUUCAUCUUGGUGAUUAUAGGUAUUUAGGGCAUCUGUAUUUGUUGAUUGUGAUGCCAAGAUUGGUCCUUAUGUAUGGGCUAUACUCAUGGUAAGAUUAGCCAACAGUUCAAGCCCUAUCUGGAAUGCGGGAAUUUGCUUGUACUUAGUUGUGGAACAGUUUAAUUACCGCAAAAACCUAGGGUUGUGUUCCCAGUUUGAGUAAAUGAUGUCAUUGAGAUGUCUGUAGCUUUAUAUUCCCAUGCUCGAUUACUUCUUCCUUGUGAUCAUCUAGCUGUAUUAUAUGCUAAAAAAAUAUUCUUUGCCAACGGCUUCAGUGUUCUCUUCCCCUCGGGAUUGUUGCCUUGCUUUAUGAUUAUUAGAUGUGUUCUCUUUAUGAUUCUCUAUUUUUAUUCGUAAAAUUUCCUUGUGGUCAGCUAGGUGUACUAUGCUAAAAGAAAAUCUUCCCCAACUGCUUCAAUGUUCUCUUUUCCCCGAACAGUGUAUGCACAAUCGGUCUUUUAGGAUUGUUACCUUGCUUUAUGAUUAUCAGAUGUGUUCUCUUUAUGAUUCUCUAUUUUUAUUCUUCAUAUUUCGUUAAUGAGUUUAGCUCUUGAGCUGAAGUUAUUGAGUUUUCGUUGCUGUGGUUUAGAGAUGAUUCAAAUUCUGGAAAUUAUUGGCAUUGAAGUACCAUUGAUUGCCUCACCACUAGCAGAAUUAUGUAUUCAGUCUAUCCUAUGUCAGUCCAUAUAGGUCUAGCUAUACAAAUUCUUCACUUUUAUUGUUUUGGAAUUAGCUUCUAUGGAGUUCUCUUUGUUUCCCAACAGGGUUCGUGGUGCCAUGACAUUCUCAUGUGUAUGUUCCUAAUACAACAAUCUGUCUCUGAACUUCGCUUUUGGACUCCUGAGUACAUUUUGUUUGGGAACUGCAUACUAUGUUUGAUUUAAAUGGAGCUCCCAUGCGUAGAACACCUCUUGGAGUAUCAACUUAGCUCUAGAAUCAACCAUAUUUUUUCUGACACGUACAGCAGGGAUACUCCCUGCUCCCAACAUAAAUUUUGUUCAUGUAAGUAAAACCAGCAUACUGCAAAACUCCACAGUUGCCGCAAGGUUAACAAGUGUAGGUUUGAAACAGAGGGAAGGGUGGAAAAUUAGAUUAGGUAAAACCUUGUGGCACUAUACCUUGAUCAUUCUAUAGCACUGGUGCAGCAUCUGGCCCAAGUAUUUUGAGGAGUCUAUCUGUACUUUUAUUAAUCAUUAAUGUGUUGGUACAUAUAUAUUGAGAAAUGAAACUUCUGUCACGGAUGUUUUAGUUUUCUGCUUGUUGGAAACACGACUGCUUCUUGCAAAACCUGUUUGACAGUUCGGAUGAAAUUGUGUCACAUGCCUUAUUUAGUUUGGGAGGUACUAACCUCCUGUUGUAGUUGAGCAGUGUCCGUUCGAAAAGAAAUAUUAUUCUAGUCUUUCACUGAUCAGUUGUGUAAUUGCAUAUGUAUCGAAGCACUAGGGGGUAAACCAAGAAGGUAGAUAGCACAAAAUUCUUCACUAGGACAGUGACAACAGUGACUUUCUGUUAUCCCUACUGUUCCCUUGGUAAAACGUAUAGGAUGUACUUCUCACGAUCAGGACUGCAGCUAAGAUGAACAUGCAAUCUCUCUUUUCUUUUAAUUUUCAGAACAUUUACAGUCUUGCUCACUACUCUGAUUCUUCUUUAUCAGUGGAUGCAAAGUCAAAAACAAGAGCUUUUAGGACUUCAUGUUUUGAAACCAGUUAAAUCAUAUAGUUUCUGUUAUUUUUUCUCAUGCUCCUGUUCUCUGAACAUAUUAGCUGGAAGCAUCACAUAGUUUGUUAGCUUUUUACAGACAAGUGUGCUUUGAUUUUUGUUUAAGAUUGGAGCUAUCUUCAUGUUGUUUGUUCCAUAAAUAUUCUUAUAUACCAUCAAAAUAACUUCUGUUAAUUAUGUUCAGUACUGAUGAAUUUUUCAUUGACUAUUUUGAACACUGUCAUUCUCAAGUUAAGUUUGUACUCUGUAACCUCAUAACCUCAUAAAGAGCAAUAUAUUUGUUUGGCUGUUCUCUGUUAACAAUAUUUACCCCUGUUCUUUCAUGUGCAAUUUGUAAUCAUCUAUCUAACCAUGUUUUCCAUUAGAAGUUAGAAUGCGUCUGUUUGUCUAUUCUAAAACUAAGGUGUAGCAUCCAAGAGCUUGUCUUCAUUUAGUAUGCUUCAGUUUAUCUAUUGUGGAUUACUCUCUCCAUUCCAAAUUAAUUGAAGUUCUAGCUUUGUCCUUAUUCAAAUUUGACCAAGUCCAUAAGAAAAAUAUAUCAAGACCUACAACGCCAAAUUAGUUUCAUUACACUGAACCGGAUCUUGAAAACGGGAGUGAACUGAAUCCGACUUCUUGGGAUUUCUUACAAAAUGUAUUUCCAUUAUAUAUAUGUUUGGUAUUGUAGAUCUAAGCAUAUUUUUCUAUAGACUUGGUCAAACUCAAAGAAGUUUGACUUAGACAAACCUAGAACUUCAAUAAUUUGGAAGGGUGGGAGUUUUGGUUUCUACUCCCUCCGUUCCUAAAUAUAAGUCCUUUUAGAGAUUCCACUACAAACUACAUAUGGAUGUAUAUAGACAUUUUUUAGAGUGUGGAUUCACUCAUUUUGCUCCAUAUGUAUUCCAUAGUGAAAUCUCUAAAAAGCCUUAUAUUUAGAAACGGAGGGAGUAGAAUUUAGCAUCCUGAGCUUGCCCUUAAUUUGCUACACUCCAACUAUCCAUCUUGCAAUUAUAAAUGGUAUUGUUUCUUCACUUGCCUUGUUUCUUUCCAUGUAUGAAAAAAAUGGUUUCCAACUCAUAUUGGGUAUUUCUGUUUUGAUGUCAAACGAACCUCGGAAUAUUUGCAUAAUUUCUUAUUUUUAUUAGUGUGUAAUGUAUCGGCAUCAUCAAGCCAACAAUGCCUGGACUGUUUCUGAUGGACCAAAAUGUGUAGGGUUCGAUAUCUUUUUUUAUUGUUAUUUUGGUUAGGUAAUUUAUGCAUAUGAUAUUCACUGUUGUGCAGAUCGGUUUUUUCAGCAUCACUAGAGUCAAGGAGGCUUCCCUUGGACUGGCGCUAUGCACGCCCAUCAUAUUUUAUUUAGGUUAUGCCUAGAACUCUAAUAAGUGGAGCUUAGCAGUAGCAUACAGUGACUUAUUACUGGAUUUCACCGUUAUAAGCACAUACUUAUAAAUAUUAAAUCAUGACGCAAAUUGUAUAUUUAGGAAUUGUCCCCAGUAUCCACCUUAUUAUUUUGCUUGUUGUUAGGCUAUAGUAAGUGUUGCUGCAACUUGGAAUUUGGUCGCAGCAUGCUCUUUCACUAUUUUUUUUGUCUAUUUUUAUCAAUGUAUUAUUAAUGUCAAGUCACUGUAUACACUCCUGUUUUGAAACAACAUUGACGUACUGAUGAGAUUUUAUUUUCUCUUGUUUUGAAACAGGAGUCUGGACUGGAUACACUCCUUCUCUUUUGUCCCGUGUGAUAAAAGAUUUAUAGCUUAUAAUAUCACAACAAUGUACAUAUUCAUUACCACUGAACUUGUAACUGCAGUAUUUGUGUAAUUCUAUAUAUCCAUUCAUCUUGUUUUUUCCAUAUUGCAUUUGGGAUCAUGGUAGAGGUUCAUCUGAGGUAUUUCUUCUUUUCGUCAAGAAAUCAUAAAAGCGUUCUAGAUCUUCAGUAUUGUGUAACAGCUAGAUACUCAUUCAUGCUGUCUUUGUUUUCUCUUUUUUUAACUGAAGAAACACUUCAUCUUAGGUUUUAAAACAGUUUCCGCUUAUUUUUCAGUGCCAUUUAGAAGAUUUUGGUGGCCAGAGAACAAAGCAAGUCACCGAACCAUGCUCAUGGUCUGCUGGAAUAUCACACUAAAACUUCAUGCUGGUAAGUUUCCUCAUUUGUCAUGAACCCUGAAUGAUUAACCUCGUACAAACCAGACAUCAAAUAUAUUUCAGUACAUGGUAGUCAUGCAAAACUUGCAUCUGUCAUAUUAGGAACUCAUUGUUGUCGAUAUGUACAUGUUAACUGAUGUUGGGCCUCCACAACCCACUACUGGCAUGACUAAAAGAGCCAGUCUUACAUCUUUUGUUAGGGAAGCUACUAUACAUCUUAGACUUGUGGAGUAAUUUACAAGAUGCACAUACAAAUCUCUUCGGCACCUGAACAAAAUCACUAAUUCCAACACACCUAGUGUGCUGCCACACAUGGCAUGAGUCACAAGAUAGCAUCCUCUCACCAUCAUCAUCCUUCGCUCCACAUGAACAAUUAACUGUCCAUUUGUCUACACCCCUCUCCAUUCGAUAAAUUGCAACCCUGCGCUCACCUCCAACACACUUGCCUUGGAUGCUGACAGUCCCUUUUGCUCCAAAUAAGAGCUUGACUUGAGUUGUGUCAUCUGCAGUUGGACAAUCAAGAAGCUGGUUUGCUACAAAGCUUUGUAGCAUCAAGUAGAUACUUUGGAAUGUUCUCGCAGCCUCCAUCUUCAGAUCAGCAACAGUAGCUGUUUGCGGAAGUGUUAAAAGUUCUGCUGGGAGGCUGGGUGGAUCACCAACCUGAUCCAAUAGCUCCACUUGGCACCAGAUGUGCAGCACAGAUUGGUUUUGAGGCAAGAAAUCCUCUUCCAUGUCAUAAUGCUUGAUGAACUGCUUGCAGUCCAAAAGGACCAUCGCAGAUCUGUUGGCAUGUUCAUGAAUAUGUUCUGGCUUAUAAGGUUGCAUUGUAUGAGGGUUGAGGAGCGCAUCAUAGAGGAACUUGAUGUCAUGGAAAAGGUGUUCCCGAGUUGGCAUGCUCGCAUUCUUUGGUGGCAAGAUUUCAUUUGUGAGCCUGCAAUGAGUAAAAGAACAGUUAGCCUUUUGAUCAUAGAAACAAGAACUAGGCUAGUUAUGCAAGUCACAACCAAUAUCUGAGUCACGAACCUGUACUCUAUUGUGUUUGUCUCACUGUUGCAUCGAACUACAACAACCAUUCCAUCAUAGGUUCUUGUACCACCAAUGGUCUUGAGGCAGUAAUCAACCAGCUGUGGUGAACCAAUUGGAUGAGCUGUAGCUGCCUUUAGGGUUCGCAUAGCCACCCACCUAUCUGCAGCACGGAGAACUUUCAGCACAACAUCCAUCGCUUGCUUUAUUUUCUCAUCAGCCCAGUUUUCCUCUUUGAAAUUGGCAUCAUAUGCUAGCUCCCUCUUGUGCAUUGUCACAAGGUGGGUAUGCACACUUUUGCCAGCAGCAAGCCCCAAGACAUAGAGGAACAGAUCACGGAAUGUGGUGAGAGGGCGCUUUGAGAGCGAUUGAUAGAAAGCAAUGGUAUCCUGCAGUUGGUUUCGAGGAUAUCGGGAGUGCGGAAAGAAGUGAGAGAGUGACACUGAGGAGAGGUUUUCAAUGGCUUUGCUGUAGGUUUCAGAUGUAAUUCCGAAGCUCCCACUUCCGAGUUUGAAUCCCCACUGCCCAUACCAAGAACAGCCAGUGGCAAUGGCAUGUAGAACCCUGUAGUCAACUUCAAACUUCUUCGAGACAUCCAACACUGAAACCUUUCUGAAAUUAAUCAUGUACUCUUAUGUUAGUAUCAUUUCCCAACAAAUUACAAAAAGGUAGGCUGUUCCUAUUCCACAUAAAUGUGUAAAUUUGGCUUUUAUACCUGACUCUUAGGUAUGUGCAAAGACGAUCCCAAAAGUCCAUCAGUUGGUAUCCUGUCAAGAGGCUGGAGCCACCUUCAUGGCCGUUAAUUCGUACAAGAUGGCCAAACCCAUUUUCAUGUACUAUGCCAUGCAGCAAAUGCCGCGGAUCAUCAAUCUGGGCAUAGUCCCAAUCUUCAGAUUCAUCAUGGGGUAACGCAGAACCAUGACUGCACGCCGGGCACCUGAUCAUUGAUUAAAUAACAGUUCAGUGUGUAAUUUUAUUUAUCAUCAGAAGUUGCAGUGUUAUUGUCACAUUUGUUUGCAGUGAUAUUGUUGCCUUAUUAGAUUGCAAAUACUGAACAUUGGUGAUAGAACCAAC